This 784-nucleotide long non-coding RNA is filed under the name Dasypus novemcinctus (nine-banded armadillo). Its description in RNAcentral is "lncRNA (ENSDNOG00000052210.1)". Lineage: Eukaryota; Metazoa; Chordata; Mammalia; Cingulata; Dasypodidae. The record is from RNAcentral.
UCCCCCCUGCCAUAAUGAUGGCCCCUCUCCGCACCUCACCCCCCCCGUGAGGUUUUUCUCCUCUUGUCAUUGCAGAUGACGCCUCCAGUCGCCCAGUCGAGCCCGCCUGAGUCUGCCCCUCCUGCACCAUCACCCGCAGGGACCACGCCAGCUCUCUCCCGCCGCGAGCGACGUCGACGUCGUCUUCUUGUCCGCCGCUUGAGCCGUCUCUCCCUCGAAGAUGCCUCCAUCGAGCAGCAAAUUCUCCAGCUUCUCCAUCGUGCUCGCGCCUCCCCUGCCCCGCGCCCUCCUACCACCCCCCCCUCCUACACCUUCUCAUCUUUAUGCUCUCCUUAGCCUCCUCAGCCCAGGCCACGCCCCUUUGGGCCGCCCUUCUUCAACCGCCUGGUUUCCUCUUUCUCUCCCCUCACUCCCCCACCUUCCCCACCAUGUACUCCCCCAACUGCGACUUCCUCCCAGAAAGCUGCGACCCCUCGCCCUUCCUGUCUCCUCGUCGUUGCCAAAUGUCUCCAUCCCUAUUCCCCUCGACGCCUUGCAGUUCGUCACCAACCUUUCCCUGUGCGUAAACCCCCGCAAUAAUACGCCAAUGGAUGUUUUCCUCUUACAACACCUCCUUCCUCAACUACACCCACUCCCUCCAGCAACACAUCCUCACCCUCGAAUCCAUCAAGCCCCCAACCCUCUCAGCUUCCCUCCUUAGAGACGUGCUCCAAAAAUUCCUCUCCCUUUUCCAACCCUCCAGCCUCCUCCUCUACGCCUUCCUUUUCCUCCUUCUCCUCCUCCU